AUGAAGAGCCUGAUCCUUCUUGCCAUCCUGGCCGCCUUAGCGGUAGUAACUUUGUGUUAUAAUCACAUGAAAGCAUGGAAUCUUAUGAACUUAUCCCUUCAUUAACAGGAGAAAUGCAAAUACCUUCAUAUCCCCUCAGCAGAGAUGGAGAGCUAAAGUCCAAGAGAGAUCCGAGAACGCUCUAAGCCUGUCCACGAGCUCAAUAGGGAAGCCUGUGAUGACUACAGACUUUGCGAACGCUACGCCAUGGUUUAUGGAUACAAUGCUGCCUAUAAUCGCUACUUCAGGAAGCGCCGAGGGACCAA
Molecule: long non-coding RNA, 305 nt
Filed under: Homo sapiens (human)
Lineage: Eukaryota; Metazoa; Chordata; Mammalia; Primates; Hominidae
Description: non-protein coding lnc-ERP27-1:2
Source: RNAcentral